Molecule: long non-coding RNA, 900 nt
Organism: Humulus lupulus (European hop)
Lineage: Eukaryota; Viridiplantae; Streptophyta; Magnoliopsida; Rosales; Cannabaceae
Exons: 5
Source: RefSeq, a predicted model, not a curated record
CGUGCCACGUGUCCCACGUCUCCCAGUGGGAGACGUUGGAUGUCCCCUUGGCCAUUUAAUGAAUUUUGGGUCUUCUUCUUCCUCAUAACACCAAACAGAGAGAGCACACCAAACAGAGAGCACGAAAGGGGCUGCGAUUUUAGGGUUUUCAAGGUUGUGAUUUUGGUGGUGAGAUUUUAGAGAGUACUUUGCAUCAAAACUUCUAUAACUAUCAAUCACACAUUUGAGCGAAUUCGAUUACUACUUGAAGUAAUUUUGCUAGCUUUUGAAUUAUUAAUUGCAAGAGAUGGUUAGGUCACUAUUAUAGGGGAAAUGCUGCCCGAUAUUAUUUAGGAUAAUAAACGAUUAGUUGAGAACGGGCAUUACUUGAUUGAACAUUCGAGUCCCAGGCAUUACUUGAGAACGCUAACAAGCACAUCAUAUACAGAGGCACAAAUUGAUGAGUUGCGACAAGAAUGGGCGACAUAUAUGUUGCCGAUAAUCCAAAGUUACCGACCUCGUUGAUAGGUUUUUUUUUAAUUUUUUAACUCUUUCUUCAUACACAAUGCAAUAUUUGUUCAUUUUGAAUAUUUCUAACAAAUAUUGUAUUUCUUGUAUAUAUCUAACAAAUAUAUUUUUUUAUUUCAAUUUAAAUUAAUAUUAUUUCAAUUUAAUUAAUUUAAAUUUAGAUUAAAAUAAUUUCAAUUUAAAUUAAUAUUAUUUCAAUUUAAUUAAUUAUUAAAUUAAUUUCAAUUUAGAUUAAAAUAAUUUCAAUUUAAAUUAAAAUAAUUUCAAUUUAAAUUAAUAUUAUUUCAAUUUAAAUUAAUAUUAUUUCAAUUUAAUUAAUUAUUAAAUCAAAUUAAAAUAAUAUUAAUUAUAAAUUUAUUUAAUUUAUUUUUUUUAAAUGUGGGAGACUUUCAA